GGCUGGUAAAAGUGAGUGCAGUGGUGUUUGAUGUUUACAAAUCACUGAUCCUAACCAGUUACAGGUUUCUUUGUCCCUUUUCCACUCCCACUGCUUUACUUGACUAGCCUUUA
Unclassified non-coding RNA from Otolemur garnettii (small-eared galago), 113 nucleotides. It matches the Rfam family "Y RNA". Rfam says of the family: Y RNAs are components of the Ro ribonucleoprotein particle (Ro RNP), in association with Ro60 and La proteins. The Y RNAs and Ro60 and La proteins are well conserved, but the function of the Ro RNP is not known. In humans the RNA component can be one of four small RNAs -- hY1, hY3, hY4 and hY5. NCBI's taxonomy places the organism in Eukaryota, Metazoa, Chordata, Mammalia, Primates, Galagidae. The record is from Ensembl.